This 71-nucleotide transfer RNA is filed under the name Thermoleophilaceae bacterium. Its description in RNAcentral is "tRNA-Gly". It matches the Rfam family "tRNA". From Rfam's summary of the family: Transfer RNA (tRNA) molecules are approximately 80 nucleotides in length. Their secondary structure includes four short double-helical elements and three loops (D, anti-codon, and T loops). Lineage: Bacteria; Bacillati; Actinomycetota; Thermoleophilia; Thermoleophilales; Thermoleophilaceae. The record is from RNAcentral.
GCGGGCGUGGUGUAACGGCUGCACAAGAGCCUUCCAAGCUCUUAGUAAGGGUUCGAUUCCCUUCGCCCGCU